RNAcentral lists this ribosomal RNA (428 nucleotides) under uncultured bacterium. Its description in RNAcentral is "partial 16S ribosomal RNA". It matches the Rfam family "Bacterial small subunit ribosomal RNA", at positions 354 to 796 of the family's 1533-position model. The record is from RNAcentral.
GUGGGGAAUAUUGGGCAAUGGGCGCAAGCCUGACCCAGCAACGCCGCGUGAAGGAAGAAGGCUUUCGGGUUGUAAACUUCUUUUACCAGGGACGAAACAAAUGACGGUACCUGGUGAAUAAGCCACGACUAACUACGUGCCAGCAGCCGCGGUAAUACGUAGGUGGCGAGCGUUAUCCGGAUUUAUUGGGUGUAAAGGGCGUGUAGGCGGGACAGCAAGUCAGAUGUGAAAACCAGAGGCUCAACCUCUGGCCUGCAUUUGAAACUGUUGUUCUUGAGUGUCGGAGAGGUAAUCGGAAUUCCGUGUGUAGCGGUGAAAUGCGUAGAUAUACGGAGGAACACCAGUGGCGAAGGCGGAUUACUGGACGAUAACUGACGCUGAGGCGCGAAAGCGUGGGGAGCAAACAGGAUUAGAAACCCGGGUAGUCC